This 382-nucleotide ribosomal RNA is filed under the name uncultured eukaryote. Its description in RNAcentral is "partial 18S ribosomal RNA". It matches the Rfam family "Eukaryotic small subunit ribosomal RNA", at positions 592 to 976 of the family's 1831-position model. The record is from RNAcentral.
CAAUAGCGUAUAUUAAAGUUGUUGCAGUUAAAAAGCUCGUAGUUGGAUUUCUGGUUGAAGCGACCGGUCGGGCGUUGAUUCGUCUGCACUGGAGUCGGUUUUGGCCAUCCUCUAGGAAAGUGCGUCUGGUAUUAAGUUAUCGGGCGUAUGAUCCUGGUCUUUUACUGUGAAAAAAUUAGAGUGUUUGAAGCAGGCCUUCGCCUUGAAUACAUUAGCAUGGAAUAAUAAGAUAGGACUUUGGUCUAUUUUGUUGGUUUGCAGACCGAAGUAAUGAUUAAUAGGGAUAGUUGGGGGUAUUUAUAUUCCGAUGUCAGAGGUGAAAUUCUUAGAUUUUCGGAAGAUAAACUUAUGCGAAAGCAUUUACCAAGGAUGUUUUCAUUAA